Molecule: ribosomal RNA, 253 nt
Filed under: uncultured bacterium
Lineage: Bacteria
Description: partial 16S ribosomal RNA
Rfam family: Bacterial small subunit ribosomal RNA
Source: RNAcentral
UACGGAGGGUGCAAGCGUUAUCCGGAUUUACUGGGUUUUAAGGGUGCGUAGGCGGGUUGAUAAGUCAGUGGUGAAACCUCCGAGCUUAACUCGGAAACUGCCAUUGAUACUAUCAGUCUUGAAUUCAGUUGAGGUGGGCGGAAUGUGUCGUGUAGCGGUGAAAUGCUUAGAUAUGACACAGAACACCAAUUGCGAAGGCAGCUCGCUAAACUGACAUUGACGCUGAGGCACGAAAGCGUGGGGAGCAAACAGG